UGGGGAAAGGUAUCAGCGUGAAAGCAGUUAAAGCAGAGAGACAAAAGUCGUGUACAUUAACUUGAUUCAUGAGAAACUCCUAAGCGAGUCAGCCAGUAAGGGUGUUCGUUUUAUCCAGCUAUAUACAUCUGAACAGGUUGUUGUAAAACACGAUAAGUCAUGCUAGGUAUUCAUGUGUAUACUACUGUAGCUUAAAUGAGCGAAAAACCUGAAUGUUGCUGGCUAAAUAUGUGUGGGUGCUUAAGUAGGGAAUAUAAUCAGAGGAGGGACAAAGAGGGAAAAAUAUAAGGUAUCAGUUAGGUCAUCUGAUUAUGUAGCUUAGUAGGUGUAAAUAAACAAGUAAUGAGUAUAAUUUACAAAGUAUAAUGUAUAGAGAGAGUUCUCACAUUAUGUACUCAGGCAUGAACUGUAGGUG
This is a non-coding RNA of Pelobates cultripes (western spadefoot toad), 415 nucleotides long. The record is from the annotation of a GenBank genome assembly. Lineage: Eukaryota; Metazoa; Chordata; Amphibia; Anura; Pelobatidae.